CCAGGAUUCUGAUGAACUUCUGCUGUGAACUAUUUCCUGUGGAUAACAUGCAGAAGAAGCAGAGUCCCCCAGCAUGCCUGACUGAUGUGUACUGCCCACAGCUGCCACGCCGUGUAACCAGGAACCAACUCCAGACUGUGGUAUGCAGUGGGAUAGCUUGAACGCAGCAGUUCUAGGAGGGUUAAAAAUUAAACCAGCAAUCAAGAUCUAAAGCGGCGCUGGGUUUAAAAGACUGGCAAGGUUCAGCUGUGAGUCAAUUCAUUAGUUGCAGUUAAUAUUGCUAGAAGAGCUUGACAAAAGGAAACACGAAGCAACUGAAAAGAAACAUCCUUAAGGUGAAUGUCAAAGUUUUUGCAUCCAGCAAAGAAACGAAAAGCUGAAUACAGAAGAGAAAGCACUGGUUCCCAUUGAGUGGUUACAGAGGAAACAAUCGUACUACUACAGAGACCUGACUAGAGAAUGAAUCUCAUGACUGGCUUAUCUCCUCCAGGACUGGUGAGAAACCCAAAGUAGCUACAGUGUCUGUUCAGACUUGCACAUAGAAGGCUCUGUUCCAUCAGGGUACACUGAAAUGCUGGGUUUGUGUAGCAGUGGUGAUUUCCAGUUUUCUUGAAUCCCAUUGUCUGUUCAGCACCCACUUAGGAGCAAAGAAGGAGCUUCUGCAUCUGUGCAUCUGGUGUGACCUACACAGUGCAGCCAUGGGCUCCUGCUGCCCUGGAAGCAGCCUUCCAAAGAAACAGUUCCAGCACAUUCUCCUAGGCAAAUAGUUAAUUAUCAACACUAACAAGUUUCCUGCCUUGUAAUAUUUCAAAUCCUUGACUGCUUGCUGCUGCAGAUGGAGUAUUGGUUACCCUCCAUCAUCGGUCUGGCUGCGAAGACUUCCUGUGCUUGACAAGUUGAUUACUUCGUCAAGGUGAAUGUUCAGUCGAGUCUGUCUGGAGGACCUCUGUGUGUCUGAUGCCAGCUGGUUUCUCACCAGACGCACUGUUUCACCAGGCACAGAAUAAUAUGAGGAGAAAAAAUGGGAUUUUGAGGGGCUUUUUUCCCCACUCCCUUUUUGAGGUUGGUGUUGCUCCAGUUUAUCCCAGUAGGAUGUAGGUGGAUAACUCUCUAAAUGCAGCCAUCUUCUAUAUGGAGAGCAAACCUCUCUGAUGAAAUGCCGCUGUCCUUUAUAUGUGGUUUUCCCUGCCUUUAGGAUCCCCAAAAGAGGUUAGAUAGCUUGGAAGCUGUGGCAUUAACAGUGCUUUCAUAUUGUCCAUUGUGUAUCAUCAAGGAAGCGCAGUAAAACCCAAAUAAAUUAAAUGAAUUUCAUUGCAGUUCCUGAGGGAGAGCAGGAUGCUUUACUUGUGAGUUUCAAGUCAGGUCAGGAGGGUUGGAUCUCCACAGAGA
RNAcentral lists this long non-coding RNA (1389 nucleotides) under Gallus gallus (chicken). RNAcentral describes it as "long non-coding RNA NONGGAT001316". Lineage: Eukaryota; Metazoa; Chordata; Aves; Galliformes; Phasianidae. The record is from RNAcentral.